RNAcentral lists this unclassified non-coding RNA (283 nucleotides) under uncultured Microascaceae. RNAcentral describes it as "sequence contains ITS2". The stretch from base 1 to 53 matches the Rfam family "5.8S ribosomal RNA", at positions 102 to 154 of the family's 154-position model. Lineage: Eukaryota; Fungi; Ascomycota; Sordariomycetes; Microascales. The record is from RNAcentral.
GAACGCACAUUGCGCCCGGCAGUAAUCUGCCGGGCAUGCCUGUCCGAGCGUCAUUUCAACCCUCGAACCCCGGUUUUCUUUAUGGAUCCCGGGGAUCGGUGUUGGGGCACUACGGAGGUCUUCUGACCACCGUAGGCUUCGAAAUACAGUGGCGGUCCCGUCGCGGCGCCCUCUGCGUAGUAAUUUUCACCUCGCAUUGGGUCCCGGCGAAGGCCAGCCGUCAAACCCUCUAUUUUCUAUGGUUUGACCUCGGAUCAGGUAGGGUUACCCGCUGAACUUAAGC